RNAcentral lists this ribosomal RNA (468 nucleotides) under uncultured bacterium. RNAcentral's name for it is "partial 16S ribosomal RNA". It matches the Rfam family "Bacterial small subunit ribosomal RNA", at positions 28 to 507 of the family's 1533-position model. The record is from RNAcentral.
GACGAACGCUGGCGGCGUGCUUAACACAUGCAAGUCGAACGGAAAGGCCCUGCUUUUGUGGGGUGCUCGAGUGGCGAACGGGUGAGUAACACGUGAGUAACCUGCCCUUGACUUUGGGAUAGCUUCAGGAAACUGGGGCUAAUACCGGAUAGGAGCUCCUGCUGCAUGGUGGGGGUUGGAAAGUUUCGGCGGUUGGGGAUGGACUCGCGGCUUAUCAGCUUGUUGGUGGGGUAGUGGCUUACCAAGGCUUUGACGGGUAGCCGGCCUGAGAGGGUGACCGGCCACAUUGGGACUGAGAUACGGCCCAGACUCCUACGGGAGGCAGCAGUGGGGAAUAUUGCACAAUGGGCGGAAGCCUGAUGCAGCAACGCCGCGUGCGGGAUGACGGCCUUCGGGUUGUAAACCGCUUUCGCCUGUGACGAAGCGUGAGUGACGGUAAUGGGUAAAGGAGCACCGGCUAACUACGUG